UUAAAUUGAAGAGUUAGAUCAUGGCUCAGAAUGAACGCUGGCGGCAGGCCUAACACAUGCAAGUCGA
RNAcentral lists this ribosomal RNA (67 nucleotides) under Salmonella enterica subsp. enterica serovar Dublin. RNAcentral's name for it is "partial 16S ribosomal RNA". It matches the Rfam family "Bacterial small subunit ribosomal RNA", at positions 1 to 65 of the family's 1533-position model. Lineage: Bacteria; Pseudomonadati; Pseudomonadota; Gammaproteobacteria; Enterobacterales; Enterobacteriaceae. The record is from RNAcentral.